Cinara cedri is the source of this 1115-nucleotide non-coding RNA. The record is from the annotation of a GenBank genome assembly. Lineage: Eukaryota; Metazoa; Arthropoda; Insecta; Hemiptera; Aphididae.
CAUCAAUCUAUUAAAAUAAAUUUUAGAGUAAUGCGGUCAUACUAACCAGUAGACAGUUUAUGGUAAAUUUAAGUAAAUAUAUUAGGUACAAUUGUGAAAGGAUCAAUAAUGGCACUCUUUAAAUUGAGUUAAACAAACAACGAGCUCGUGAUCUGACCAUGUUAUUCAAUAUAAUUUGAUCACCAUUAAGAAGGCCCAUCAUUGCAUUACCUUCAGGUUCUGAAUCUGUAUAACUGAUGGAUACACAAAUAUCUUCUUGAUCUUUCUAUUUAGAGCAGUUGUUCCCAACCAGGACAACGUAGACUCAUGUAGAGGUGACAUGCAUCAUGUAUACUUCAAUCUUAGGGCGACACCAGUGUCGGAUUAUCGUGACUAAAGGUGACAUGAGUAAGAAAAAGGUUGAGAAGCACCGAGGAUUGAACACAAAAAUUAACCGUUAUUAAGGACAUAUACACCAUACACACGUGUAACGUCGCAAAAAUCAAUUUUCGAGGAAAAUUCGAUACUUACCGAGGAUAGGUAUCCAAGGACUGAUGACACUUGCAAAUACAAUGUCGUGUACGAGUACACCGCGGGCAGCAGCAACCUCACGCCGGUUUUGCGGGACCGCUUUGGGGUUACCCGACCGGGGGAGGGGCCGGGCUUCGUUCGUUGACGGGCCACGGACGAUUACGCGCAAGUGUCGCACCGGCAAAACGUCGGGCGACGUAAACGCAUCGGAAGAUACGGAAAUAUAAUCGCCGCUGCCGGUUGCUCAUGUAUAUAAAAUCGUGACGGCAAAAAUAACACGGCCGGGAGGCACGAGUACCUCGUGGCACGUUAUAUAUAGUACUCACUUAGUUCGGUGCGCCAGCGACAAAAGACGAAAUUAUCACCGGAACACCGUCCAGAAAGUCGUGAUCGGCACACAAAGUGAUUUCGUAUUGCUGAAACCGAACAGUCGUAGAGUGAAAAUUACGGCAGAUCCGGAGGCGCGCGAACGUUAAUGUCGAGCUGAGAGUUCCGCCGCAGCGCCGUACCCGAGCGAACGAAAUGAAUAACAAUGGCGAACGUGUUUUACGUUGGGAAGUCACCGCGGAGAGCGUAGACGUCCGCCAAUCGCCGCCGCCGAAGAC